Molecule: ribosomal RNA, 1383 nt
Filed under: metagenome
Description: SSU rRNA
Rfam family: Eukaryotic small subunit ribosomal RNA
Source: RNAcentral
GAAUUUCUGCCCUAUCAACUUUCGAAGGUAGUAUAGAGGACUGCCUUGGUAAUAACGGGUAACGGGGUUUUAGGGAACGACUCCGGAGAGUUUGCCUUAAAAAUGGCAAACACUUCCAAGGAAGGCAGCAGGCGCGCAAAUUACCCAAUCCGGAAUCCGGGAGGUAGUGACAAAAAAUAUCGACACAGGGUCCAAUAGGGCUUUGUGAUUGGAAUGAGCAAAAGUUAAAAUGCAUAGCGAAAGCCAUUGGAGGGCAAGUCUGGUGCCAGCAGCCGCGGUAAUUCCAGCUCCAAUAGCGUAUGUUAUAGUUGCUGUAGUUGAAAAGCUCGUAGUUGGAUUUCGUUUGCAGACAAGAACUUUUUUUACAAAAAGGACUUUUUCUUGUGAUUUCUCUAUACGUGUAAACGUGGGAUGGAUUACAAGACUGCAAAAUACUAAGCUAGAAGUUGGACAAAAAGGAUGGUUAAUUCGAUUCUUUUUUAGUUGUGUAAAAAGCAAAUGGAUUAUUCCGAGUCAAAUUGGAAGAAUGGUCUACUUCUUUGUUUACUGUGAGUAAAUUAGAGUGUUUCAGGCAGUCCAAAUAGGACAUUGCGUACAAUUAGCAUGGGAUAAUGGAAUAGGACUUGGGUUCUUUUUUCAUUGGUUUUAAAAAUAUACAAGGGCCAGAGUAAUGAUUAAAAGGGACAGUCGGGGGUAUUGGUUUUUUGAUGUCAGAGGUGAAAUUCUAAGAUUUUCAAAAGACUAACAGGUGCGAAAGCAUUUGCCAAGGAUGUUUUCAUUAAUCAAGAACGAAAGUUGGGGGAUCGAAGACGAUUAGAUACCGUCGUAGUCUUAACUAUAAACGAUGCCGACCAGAGAUCAGAGGAUGUUGAAUGGAAGACACUUUUGGAAUCUUGAGCGAAAGCACAAGUUUUUGGGUUCUGGGGGGAGUAUGGUCGCAAGACUGAAACUUAAAGGAAUUGACGGGAGGGUACACCAGGUGUGGAGUUUGCGGCUCAAUUUAACCCAACACAGGAAAACUCACCAGGGCAAGACAUUGUAAGGAUUGACAGAUUGAUAGCUCUUUCUUGAUUCGAUGGGUGGUGGUGCAUGGCCGUUCUUAGUUGGUGGAGUGAUUUGUCUGGUUUAUUCCGAUAACGAACGAGAUCUCAUCUUAUUAAAUAGAGGUAUACAAAUGGGUAUUUAAAGAUGUAUGGCAUAUGAGUUUUAGCAGUAGCAAUAUUGCUGAGGCCAUAGAGUUGUACCUUGCUCAUUUGGAUAUAUGGGGUUAAAAUGUAAAAAGUUUUAAUCUUGACUCUUCUUAAAAGGACUGUUGGCGUUAAGCCAAAGGAAGUUUGAGGCAAUAACAGGUCUGUGAUGCCCUUAGAUGUCCUGGGCUGCACG